Molecule: non-coding RNA, 31 nt
Filed under: Mus musculus (house mouse)
Lineage: Eukaryota; Metazoa; Chordata; Mammalia; Rodentia; Muridae
Source: RNAcentral
UGGGAAUUGAUUUCAGGACCUCUGGAAGAGC